AAAGUCGUAACAAGGUCUCCGUUGGUGAACCAGCGGAGGGAUCAUUACAGAGUUUACAACUCACCCAACCAUUGUGAACCCUACCUUACCGUUGCUUCGGCGGGAGGCGCCCUCAUGCCCCUGCAAUGGGUGGCUGUAGGGCGCCCCUGGACCCCCCUGCGGGGCGCCCGCCGGAGGAUUUCCCAAACCCAUUAGCAGUAUGUGGCCUAUCUAAGUCCUGUACUAAAUAAGUCAAAACUUUCAACAACGGAUCUCUUGGUUCUG
RNAcentral lists this unclassified non-coding RNA (264 nucleotides) under Ascomycota sp. RNAcentral describes it as "partial contains small subunit ribosomal RNA, internal transcribed spacer 1, and 5.8S ribosomal RNA". The stretch from base 1 to 47 matches the Rfam family "Eukaryotic small subunit ribosomal RNA", at positions 1785 to 1831 of the family's 1831-position model. The record is from RNAcentral. Lineage: Eukaryota; Fungi; Ascomycota.